AGAAGUGCGCUGCCUUUUAUUGAUCUGCUGCUUUUCUUAGCUUUCUUGGAAAUAAUAUCAUCAGAUGACACAGAGCUCAACUCAGCUGUCAGUUCACAGCUGCUGACAUCCAGAGAAACAAAGAAACCUGGAGAACAAGAUAUGAAGAAGAGAGGUGGGGGUAGGAAAGAAAGGGAAAGCACCAGGUCUGGUUUCUGUAUGGUGCAUUUUCACUGUGGGGACAGUGAGGCACAGUGAUACAAUCCAAUGGAGUUGCUAUGCAAAAACCUGCCACAUUUAAUAUGCUCAGUGUGGCCUUUUCCCUAUUACUAUGAAGACUUUCACUCAGAUCCAAAUUAGCUAUUUUUUAUCACUUUAAAAUAGUUCAUUUGUACAAGAUAAUGCAAAAUCAAAAGUAGAUUUGUGACUUCUAUUGUUUUAUGGAGCUCUAUAUUUUCCUUUAGGGUUUGUGUUGAAAAAUAUCCUUUUAAUGGCACAUUGGAGCAGAAGUCCACUUUGGAACUGAAAUUAAAAGAACUCUUGUAGAAGUGAAGACUACUCCCAAACCACCAAAGGUCCAAGUGUUUCCACUCUCUAAAAAGGAAUGUGAAAGCAAAACAGAUGAGAAGAAAAUGAAGACAUUAGUGUGCUUGGCUUCUGGGUUCUACCCAGACCAUGUGACAGUUUCCUGGCAGAUCAACGGGUUUAAUGAAAAACAGGGAGUGAAGACCGAUGAUGCUGCCACAAUGAAAGAUGAUGGUAACUACACCAUUAUGAGCAGGUUGAGGGUUACGGCAUCAAAGUGGUUGAAAAAGGGCACAAAUAUCACCUGCAUUGUCAGCUUCUUUGAUGGGAAUAACACCGUACCUUAUCCAAACUGGACAAUAGGACCAGGAAAUGAAGCAACAAGAGAGAAAUAUCUACAAACCAUGCAAAGAGCCAAGCUAUCCUACACUGCUCUGUUCAUGAAGAGCAGCAUCUACGGCCUCUUUGUGCUGCUGUUGGUGUGGAAGAUUCAGGCUUCAUUCAAAAACAGCCGAACUGAGAGUUGAGCUGAGGAUUAUGGUGCUUCCAUCAAUCUGUGUUCAAACUUUUUACUCAAAUUGUUCAAGUGUUUCUGCUUUGCAUAAUAAAUGUUAUUGACAGAUUAGUAUACUGAUAAAUAAUUACAUAAUUCUGUCAAAUCUGCUAAUCUGCUGCUUUGUGCCAAUUUUUCCUCCUAAUAAAUCAUUUAACCUCAUAUCUGAGACUAUCACAAUUUCUUUUAGAGUUGAAGUGUAAAAGUAAAGGGCCAGCAUGAGAAUUAGGUGCUGCAAGCAUAUGAGUGCUUAAAAUUACUUCCAUGCUCAAUUACAGGAAAGAAUUUUCAGAAUUUAGCUUUUUCUACCUUACUAGGCUGAGCCCAUCAUCUCCCAGUCAGAAUUUUUCUCCAGAAUUCAUCUUUUUAAUUUUUAGUCUUGCAUGGUAGAUUAGUUUUCACCUAACAGACCAUUGUAUUCUUUGUGAGCAAAGCUUCACUGUUGGUAGAAAGGUUGAUGUGUAAAUGUCAGUGAACCACGUCUCAGUGUAACAGGAAAUCCUUUUUCUCAACUAUGUAUAAGAAUCAGAUUGAGGCUGCUGGUGCACCCCAACAAACCAGGCCACCAGGGCCUGCGUAGGUGUUGAGAGUGAAACGGAUGUGGUCUACAGGGCAGGCUGCAGGAUGCUGAGGAGCAUUUUGCAAGCGAAAGCACCUGUUCAACCACUCCUGUGGCUUUGGUGCUGCAGCACAAACAGCUGGGGGUGGGUCAACUGAAACUGCAGUGUGUGAACUCAGCGGCCAUUUCAUUUGAGUUGCUGCUUUUCCGCUGUUCCUAAUUUCUUUCUGCCAAAUAAAAACGGCUCGGUUAGUGCAACAGACCUUUUUUUUUACAUUUUUGUUGUUUUAUUUCUAAUUCAAGACAAUUCAUAGAGCUAUGUAUGUAUCAUCUGCAUAUUAUGGUAACUAAUCUUAUUACUUGUUAUCACCUGAGCAUAUAGAUAUAUCAUAUAUAUCAUAUACGUAUAUCCAGUAUCUACGUACAUGCUUCUGUUUUAAAUAUUUUAAAGUUUAUGUCAGACUUCUGUGUCCCUUAAUGCAUAUCUGGAUGAAAAGUACUAUAUAAAUAAAUGUAAUGUACUAUUUACUUGUUCCUGGGUGUUUAUGAUGUUGGUUCACUAAUGUUACCCUGAAAACCCCUGAAGCCUUUAGAAAAAAUUUGGAUUUUUUAGUAAACAGAGGUUGACUCUUUUUACUAAUUUGUUGAUGUUUGGAGUCAAUUAGUGAUACUGGGUUUAAUUUUGUGGGUAUCAGAGUAAAAGGGUACAUGUGCACUGUCAGACUUUUUUUUUAAACAUUGUAUAUCUAUCUUUUGUCUUUCACUUUUAUGCAACUAUUUUGUGUUGGUCUGUCAUAUGAAAUUUGAAUAAAAGAUGUUGGAGUUUCUUGCAGAAUGAUAAAUGUAAAUAAAAUGAAACGGGUAUGAAGAGG
Xiphophorus hellerii (green swordtail) is the source of this 2488-nucleotide non-coding RNA. NCBI's taxonomy places the organism in Eukaryota, Metazoa, Chordata, Actinopteri, Cyprinodontiformes, Poeciliidae. The record is from the annotation of a RefSeq genome assembly.